RNAcentral lists this unclassified non-coding RNA (335 nucleotides) under soil metagenome. RNAcentral's name for it is "partial contains 5.8S ribosomal RNA, internal transcribed spacer 2, and large subunit ribosomal RNA". The stretch from base 1 to 120 matches the Rfam family "5.8S ribosomal RNA", at positions 35 to 154 of the family's 154-position model. The record is from RNAcentral.
GAUGAAGAACGUAGCGAAAUGCGAUAAGUAAUGUGAAUUGCAGAAUUCAGUGAAUCAUCGAAUCUUUGAACGCACAUUGCGCCCGCCAGUAUUCUGGCGUGCAUGCCUGUUCGAGCGUCAUUUCAACCAUCAAGCCCCCGGCUUGUGUUGGGGACCUGCGGCUGCCGCAGGCCCUGAAAACCAGUGGCGGGCUCGCUAGUCACUCCGAGCGUAGUAAUACAUCUCGCUCAGGGCGUGCUGCGGGUUCCGGCCGUUAAAAAAGCCUUAUUUACCCAAGGUUGACCUCGGAUCAGGUAGGAAGACCCGCUGAACUUAAGCAUAUCAAUAAGGGAGGA